AAUGAACGCUGGCGGCGUGGUUAAGACAUGCAAGUCGAACGGUUUUUGUUGUGUAGCAAUACAUUACAAAAGCAGUGGCGAACGGGUGCGUAACACGUGAACAAUCUACCUCCAAGUGGGGAAUAGCUCUUCGAAAGAAGAGAUAAUACCGCAUCAGGUUGUCCUUCGCAUGAAGGGCAUACCAAAGUCAGGGACCGCAAGGCCUGACGCUCGGAGAGGAGUUCGCGGCCUAUCAGCUAGUUGGCGAGGU
RNAcentral lists this ribosomal RNA (250 nucleotides) under uncultured bacterium. RNAcentral describes it as "partial 16S ribosomal RNA". It matches the Rfam family "Bacterial small subunit ribosomal RNA", at positions 29 to 258 of the family's 1533-position model. The record is from RNAcentral.